RNAcentral lists this ribosomal RNA (400 nucleotides) under phytoplankton environmental sample. RNAcentral describes it as "partial small subunit ribosomal RNA". It matches the Rfam family "Eukaryotic small subunit ribosomal RNA", at positions 587 to 990 of the family's 1831-position model. The record is from RNAcentral.
AGCUCUGUAAGCGUAUACCAAAGUUGUUGCAGUUAAAACGCUCGUAGUCGGAUAUUGGUGAUUCCGGAUGUGUGCGCGUCGUGUGCGCAUGUCGCAGGGAUUGCUUUUGUGGGUAUGCAUGGGAUGAGGCACUUUACUGUUGAACGUCCUUAUGCGACCACUUUUUACUGUGAGAAAAUCAAAGUGCUCAAAGCAGGCAAUUGCCGUGAAUGUAUUAGCAUGGAAUAAUGGAAUAGGACUUUGUUCUAUUUUGUUGGUUUGUUGGGACAAAGUAAUGAUUAAGAGGGACAGUUGGGGGCAUUUGUAUUCCGACGCUAGAGGUGAAAUUCUUAGAUUGCCGGAAGACAAACUGCUGCGAAAGCGUCUGCCAAGGAUGUUUUCAUUGAUCAAGAACGAAAGU